This 67-nucleotide transfer RNA is filed under the name Fabaeformiscandona kushiroensis. RNAcentral's name for it is "tRNA-Gln". The record is from RNAcentral. Lineage: Eukaryota; Metazoa; Arthropoda; Ostracoda; Podocopida; Candonidae.
UAUGUUUAGGUGUUAAAGCACAUGAAUUUUUGAUGUUCAAAGUGAUAAUUCUUAUUGUCAAACAUAU